GUGGGAACAAUACGGUUGUGAUUAGAUGUCUUAAAGAUGUCAACAUAAGCAUUAAACAGACUACCUCAACUACCGCCCAUUAGCAGUUAAAAAAGUGAAUCCUCAGUGAUGGUGAUGAGGCUGAAAAUAUCCGUGAUUUAGCAUGCAGUUACCAGUAAAUAUAUUCUAGUUAAAUAUUCAUCACUUCAUCCAUGGCUUUGCAAAGAAAUGUAUUUUGUCUACAAAUAUAAAAAACAGCCUUGUGGAUACUCAGAUGUUUGCGUCAUCAUGGAGGAGUGUUUACUAUGCAGUGCAUGACAGCUAAUGGUGUGCUAAUGGCACUAAAUGGUAACCAGAAAACAAUACUACAGCUAUAAAGACAAUCACCCUGAACAAGACCAUCCAACUUGAGGGGAGUAACUCUGUCGUUGAUGAACUUUUCUUUCUCAGCAGCUUUCUGUUUGGC
Physella acuta is the source of this 445-nucleotide long non-coding RNA. RefSeq lists it as uncharacterized. The record is from RefSeq and is a predicted model, not a curated record. Lineage: Eukaryota; Metazoa; Mollusca; Gastropoda; Physidae.